GACAGGAUUUCAGUCAGUGCUGCGUCUCAUCGUCAGUUUAACAGUAUACGUACUCAAAAGAUAUUAUAGGCAUGGUGAAACAUACGAUUUGACGCUUCGUUAUUUAAAUGCUUUGUUUUAUGAUAAAUUUUUUCAUUUUAUAUUUGGAUAAUUACCAAACACUGAUUUAUUUCUGAAUUAUUAUCAUUUUCGAUUUAAUUUUACUGUGCCAUUGGGAGACAAUGUGAAAGCUGAUGGCUGUUCUGAGCUCAUUACCUGCGAAUCGAAAAAGUUGCCCAGAAGAUUUUUAAGAGUCCCUUCAUCAAUAUCUUCAGGACUCGGGUCAUACAUGGCGCCUUCGGGCUCCAUAAGUUCCAAUACUGGCAUAAUUUUAGAUACGCUAGGUCGCCUUCCUUUGGACUUGGUGCUGACAAUACACAAGACUGUAAAAAGAAGACAUCUCGCAAAUGAUUGGAACUUCUAAUUUGAGGCAUCGCAACCAGCCAUGGAUCUACGACUAAAUCAGCAACUGCUGGCCGUUGAGUGCAAGAGAACCG
Long non-coding RNA from Argiope bruennichi, 536 nucleotides. RefSeq lists it as uncharacterized. The record is from RefSeq and is a predicted model, not a curated record. The transcript has 3 exons. Lineage: Eukaryota; Metazoa; Arthropoda; Arachnida; Araneae; Araneidae.